UACAUGGGUGGGAGGUUCAUUCAGCACCCACCAGUCAGAAAAUCUACAGCCAAGUCAUUCUGGGAAUAAAGUGAGAUAAACUUUAUAGUUUAAAUCUGAAUUCAGGACUGUGUUUGAAUAUUUUAGUUUACCAGAGAAGAAUGGAACUUAGAGCUUAAAAGCAAGAAGAAGAUAUGAAAAUAUGACAUCAAGCUGGGAUGCAGCUAAAGCAGUGCUCAGAGGGAAAUUUAUAGGCUUCAAUACGUAUAUUAGAAGGGAAGAGGCUAGGUGGAGUAGCUCACACCUGUAGUUCCAACACCUUGGGUGGCCAGGGCGGGAGGACUGCUUGAGCCCAGGAGUUUGAGAUCAGCCUGGGCAACAUGGCAAGACCCCAUCUCUUAUAAAA
RNAcentral lists this small RNA (385 nucleotides) under Pongo abelii (Sumatran orangutan). Its description in RNAcentral is "processed transcript". Lineage: Eukaryota; Metazoa; Chordata; Mammalia; Primates; Hominidae. The record is from RNAcentral.